Bufo bufo (common toad) is the source of this 126-nucleotide long non-coding RNA. RefSeq lists it as uncharacterized. The transcript is spliced from 3 exons. NCBI's taxonomy places the organism in Eukaryota, Metazoa, Chordata, Amphibia, Anura, Bufonidae. The record is from RefSeq and is a predicted model, not a curated record.
GGAGGAGCAGAGCAGGCUCAGUCCAAGAUGUAGCUGCCUUUCUUUCCUCUGGGCCCUGAUCAAGCCUGGAGAGAACAGACCAAGAAGUCACAGCAGCCCAGCACAGACAAAACUGCAAAAACACCA